UCCUGUUCCUGUUGGUGACCUUCUGGUACCAAUGAUGCCUACAUUUUUUCUCCUGAUCCAACCUUGCUCCACCCUUGACCUUAACAUUUGGACUUCUGACUUCACUUACCUCACCCCUACCUUUAAGGACCCUUGACACCAUUCUAUGCACCAGCAGCUUGACCAACACAGACCACCUUGUACCUUUGAGAGAGAUGCCGGCUUCAUCCUGCCACACUGCACUGUCUCUCCAAGAAUUGUCGCUAACCGUGCCAUCCUGACAAGCAAGCCCCUUUGCUAAUAGGCAUCUCCUGGUUGUGUGAUGAUCAAAGCAGCUCAAGGAUGACAGCAGGAAGAAGGGAGGAGGUGAGCUUGCAGAGAAUUACCAGCAGCUUCCUAGAUUACCCCCGGGCCACACUCCUAUGGCUGUCCCUUUGAAGCAAAAGGAUAACAGGGCCAGAAUGCGCUGAGCCUUGGAGGCAGUGAAGGAGGACAAGAGAUUCACCAUACUUGAACUCUGACAUCACAGUUCCAGAUGUGUUUAUAGAGGAGGUAGAAAAAGCAAUAAAGAAGAACAAGGUGAAAAAAAUCAGCUGGAUUACAACAAGCAUAAAUAAAGGAGAUCUGUCCUAGAGAUGACACAAUUGUGAGGGACUUAAGGAAUCAAUGUGUAAGAUAUCUGAAGGAGAAAAUUCUACCAAAAGCAUAAGGAAAAAAUAGACUGUAUUAAUGCUC
Vombatus ursinus (common wombat) is the source of this 714-nucleotide long non-coding RNA. RefSeq lists it as uncharacterized. The record is from RefSeq and is a predicted model, not a curated record. The transcript has 3 exons. Lineage: Eukaryota; Metazoa; Chordata; Mammalia; Diprotodontia; Vombatidae.